UAUCGUGAAUGCUUACAGAGGGCGAAGUAUAUUGGCCAUCAGAAACACAAUACAAAACUUUUAGUCGCCAUGGUGAGACAACAAUUCAAGAAAAACAUGCAUGAAACUGAUCCAGAGAAGAUACAGAAAAUGAAGGACGAUGCUGCAAGGGGCCUUAUCAAUCAUAUUCUAUAUGAGUCCGAGAAGAUUACAGGACGCAAGUUUUCAGG
Zea mays is the source of this 209-nucleotide long non-coding RNA. RefSeq lists it as uncharacterized. The record is from RefSeq and is a predicted model, not a curated record. NCBI's taxonomy places the organism in Eukaryota, Viridiplantae, Streptophyta, Magnoliopsida, Poales, Poaceae. The transcript is spliced from 3 exons.